Molecule: transfer-messenger RNA, 371 nt
Filed under: Chitinophagales bacterium
Lineage: Bacteria; Pseudomonadati; Bacteroidota; Chitinophagia; Chitinophagales
Rfam family: transfer-messenger RNA
About the family: Bacterial tmRNA, also known as 10Sa RNA or SsrA, is named for its dual tRNA and mRNA-like properties. Its role is to liberate the mRNA from a stalled ribosome.
Source: RNAcentral
GGGCCUGAUUGGAAUUGACGGGAGGCCUUGUAGGUAAACCGGCGUGCCGUGGGUGUAUAAUAACCACGUUAAUCCAUUAUGCAACAAAUUUCAAACGGCGAGCCUAGCUACGCCAUGGCUGCUUAAUCUUAGAGAUUAACCACCAUUUGCCCUGCGCUUGAGGUACCAUACACAGCGCACUGGCAACCAAAAACUGGUAACGUACGUUUAAAGUCUCAUCCACUUUAAGCUGUAUGAACGACGGAUGUAAGAAGAAGGUUGGAGGGUUACUUAUCCUGCCCUAUUCCGACAAAUCAAUAAGUAACUACGCAUCGUAGAAAGUUUAUCGCCAACUUAUCCGGACGUGGGUUCGAUUCCCACCAGGUCCACCC